RNAcentral lists this ribosomal RNA (483 nucleotides) under uncultured bacterium. RNAcentral describes it as "partial 16S ribosomal RNA". It matches the Rfam family "Bacterial small subunit ribosomal RNA", at positions 28 to 507 of the family's 1533-position model. The record is from RNAcentral.
GAUGAACGCUGGCGGCGUGCCUAACACAUGCCAGUCGAACGGAGUCGUUUUGGAAAUCUCUUCGGAGAUGGAAUUCUCGACUUAGUGGCGGACGGGUGAGUAACGCGUGAGCAAUCUGCCUUUAAGAGGGGGAUAACAGUCGGAAACGGCUGCUAAUACCGCAUAAAGCAUUAAAUUCGCAUGUUUUUGAUGCCAAAGGAGCAAUCCGCUUUUAGAUGAGCUCGCGUCUGAUUAGCUAGUUGGCGGGGUAACGGCCCACCAAGGCGACGAUCAGUAGCCGGACUGAGAGGUUGAACGGCCACAUUGGGACUGAGACACGGCCCAGACUCCUACGGGAGGCAGCAGUGGGGAAUAUUGCGCAAUGGGGGAAACCCUGACGCAGCAACGCCGCGUGAUUGAAGAAGGCCUUCGGGGUGUAAAGAUCUUUAAUCAGGGACGAAACAAAUGACGGUACCUGAAGAAUAAGCUCCGGCUAACUACGUG